GAUGAACGCUGGCGGCGUGCCUAAUACAUGCAAGUCGAGCGAACGGACGAGAAGCUUGCUUCUCUGAUGUUAGCGGCGGACGGGUGAGUAACACGUGGAUAACCUACCUAUAAGACUGGGAUAACUUCGGGAAACCGGAGCUAAUACCGGAUAAUAUUUUGAACCGCAUGGUUCAAAAGUGAAAGGCGGUCUUGCUGUCACUUAUAGAUGGAUCCGAGCUGCAUUAGCUAGUUGGUAAGGUAACGGCUUACCAAGGCAACGAUGCAUAGCCGACCUGAGAGGGUGAUCGGCCACACUGGAACUGAGACACGGUCCAGACUCCUACGGGAGGCAGCAGUAGGGAAUCUUCCGCAAUGGGCGAAAGCCUGACGGAGCAACGCCGCGUGAGCGAUGAAGGUCUUCGGAUCGUAAAACUCUGUUAUUAGGGAAGAACAUAUGUGUAAGUAACUGUGCACAUCUUGACGGUACCUAAUCAGAAAGCCACGGCUAACUACGUG
RNAcentral lists this ribosomal RNA (497 nucleotides) under uncultured bacterium. RNAcentral describes it as "partial 16S ribosomal RNA". It matches the Rfam family "Bacterial small subunit ribosomal RNA", at positions 28 to 507 of the family's 1533-position model. The record is from RNAcentral.